UGAGGAAUAUUGGUCAAUGGGCGGGAGCCUGAACCAGCCAAGUCGCGUGAGGGAAGACGGUCCUAUGGAUUGUAAACCUCUUUUGUCGGGGAGCAAAGAGGCCACGUGUGGUCAAAAGCGAGAGUA
Molecule: ribosomal RNA, 126 nt
Filed under: uncultured bacterium
Lineage: Bacteria
Description: partial 16S ribosomal RNA
Rfam family: Bacterial small subunit ribosomal RNA
Source: RNAcentral